GAGGGCACAGCUCAGUGGUAGAGCACAUGCUUAGCAUGCAUGAGGUCCUGGGUUCAAUCCCCAGUGCCUCCU
This 72-nucleotide transfer RNA is filed under the name Camelus bactrianus (Bactrian camel). It matches the Rfam family "tRNA". Rfam says of the family: Transfer RNA (tRNA) molecules are approximately 80 nucleotides in length. Their secondary structure includes four short double-helical elements and three loops (D, anti-codon, and T loops). Lineage: Eukaryota; Metazoa; Chordata; Mammalia; Artiodactyla; Camelidae. The record is from Rfam by way of RNAcentral. RNAcentral also lists the same sequence under 1 other name.